CUUCUGUAACUUCCAAAUGAUGAGCUACAGAAGUUCUUAUUAGCAGUCCCUCAGGACAUGAAUUUAUGUGGUAUAGCUUGUGAUAUUGCAAUACAAAGUUCAUUUCCUUGUGUAAUUAAUUUAAUCUUAUUUUUGUUUUACCAAUUGAAAGGCUGUCAGUUUAAAGACAUAGCCUUAUUUUUUCCCUACAUUUCUAUUCAUGUAGCAUCUGUUUUCGUAAACACACACGAAGGUUUUCCCCAAUCGAUAAUUAAUGUUUUAAUUGGUAUUAAACUCCAAAUCUCCUUUUAGUUUCUCCUAUAGUACUUUAAUAUCCCCCUUACAAUUAUGCCUAAGCCAGAAUGCAAAGUUUGUAGGAUUCGAUUCCUGUAUUAAGGUUAUUUACCUUUGUUUCCCAUCAGGUAGAUUUUACAAGUAACAUUUCUAUUAAAAAAAUAUUUGGACAGAGGAACACCGAUUGACAAGUACAGCAAAAAUGUUUCUCCCUGGAGCUAACACCACCUCUACACACUCCACAUUUACAUAGCAAAUAUGCACCACUAAGUCAUUAUGCAAAUAUAAAACUCAGAUUAUACACAGUGAUUUACACAGGCAUCGAUUUACUGACUUUUUGGUGGAUUCAAGUGUAAAUUCUUUUCCACUUUGGGGCAAUUUUUUAAAUGGUAACAUACUGGGAAUAAGGUUUCAUUAAAGAGUAAAUGGACUUCAAAGUUUGCAUUGCAGAGACUUACCUUUAAAGGAAAGCUUUUUCAUUACAAUCACAUUGAGAAGAGUUCUUAAACUGUAUGGCACUCUAAGCCAUACAUUAUCUUCAUGUUAUCUUCUGUUUAUACAAUGUUAAGCAUACUCCGUAAAGUUCAGAUAUUUUAAACUGUGAGCUCUUUGGGGCAAGAGUCAUCUUUUUCUGCACGUAUUUUUUUUUAGCCCCAACAAGACAAUGAUCUUUGACUUGAUACAAACACCACACAUUAUAGAAAUUAUCCAUUAGGAAUGUAAGAAUUCUUUAUUUGAUAUCAAAACAAAUACCCUGACUGUAUAUCUAAAGAUCAUCAUUGUGUUUAAGCAAAUAAAAAGUAAAUUUGCCUCUUACCACUAAUAACUAACAACUACUUGCAUCAGACAUUUUAGUAGUGAUCAUCCUUUAAAUCGGUGUGUAAAUCUACUUCACUGGUGCUACUAAAAACAAUUCACCCACACUGAAAAAAAAUGCCUCUCCAGAAUUUGGCAAUUAAUCAAAAGUUCUCACAUAACACUAUCUUACUCAUGAGUAUUUAAGUUUCCAAUUUAAUAUUUGUCUUCUAUACCUUCAAAGUUGACAUUUCAUAAUAUUUUUAAGGAAAGAUUAAUAAUGUAAAAAGGGAAAAAUGCUGCCUGGGGCAACAAUCAGACAAUAAUAUAUAGACUGCAAGACAAACACCUCAACAAAAAAAAUGUUGCAACUUUAUGUUCCUACAUUACUGUAUGAUAUUAGACACCAUCACUCACAUGAGCUUUACCGAGCUGGAAAUAGUUUGGGAGAUGGAGGAAAAUCAUCAUAGAAUGAUAGAUCAUCAUAGAAAAUGAUCUGUUUAAGCCAAAGAAAUAGAAUUAUCAGUGUCAACUGCUCUGUGUUUUUAAUAUUUCCGAAGAUUGAAAUACAGUCUCUAAAAUUAAAAUACCAACAUGACCUGUCAACAAUCACCGUGAAUCCAGGUAAGUGGUUCUUGGAUAUUGUAUAAUUUUUACUUCAUUCUGGGUUUUGCACACAAACUGAGUGACAGAAUUUAUACUGUGGUGGUAUUAAAGUGUCAACUCCAAAAGCAAAGAUUUUUCGAUGUUUUUUCAACCACAUCUUUUAGUAAAAUAGUUUUUCCUAAAGCUCAUAGUUUUUAAAACUAGUACACAUAUGAGAAAAACAAUUGUUUGAGAUAUUGUUGUUGCCCAGUAUAAAGUUUUUAUUACAUAAGAGCAUUAAAAUUAGGUACCAUAGUAUUUUAUAAAGUUGGUAAAAGCUAGAGUGAAAGAGCACUAAAAUUUUCAUGUAUUUUAAACAGGUGGUCCUAUGAUAUCAUCAUCAUCUACUGCAGACAAUUAUAAAAAAAAAAAGAACAUGUAUGGCAAUCCCAUGCAUGAUUUGCAUUAGUGCAUUCAGAUCAUAUUUAAAAAAAUAACAACGUUCUCUAAUUUAAUCAGGCAAAAUCUAGAAAUAAUCACUAAGUGUACAGCACUGCAGUUACUAACAUGAUUAUGCUUUCAAACAAUGUUUAUGUUUUUAAAACAUACGCAGAAGAAAACAAAAUGGGUUAAAAAACAUCACAAGCUAUAGCACUAAGCUUUGAGGUCUCCUCACUGUAUUCUAAGAAGCCAUCAUCAUGUCAUUAAAAAUGGGCAGGCUUGGAUGCUGCUAUCACUUUUAUUUCUCAUAGUAACUCUUGCUGAGUUACUGUUGUUGACCCAAUUACACUCACGACAUUACCACACCACGGACUAUGUAAUGUUUUUAACAUUUCUUUAAUUAUAGAUGUUGCUAGCAUGUUUGAAGGAUUAUUUCACAGACUGGCUGCUACAAAGUCCACAGCCUAAACAACCUGAGAUGCUUGAGCUUCAUAAUGUGAAAUUGCUCGUGCUUUCAAAAUUCUUACUGUCAUCGUACCUUAAUCCUAUACAGGUUAAUGUAUACCAUUAUCUAUGGUAUAGUAACCAUCCCAGGUAUAGCAUGAAGGAGUCCAAGGAAAGGGUUCCUAUCUCUAGACUCCCAGAGCUUUCAGAAUAUCAGCUAUCCCGAAUAUAUAAAAUACCAAAAAAUUCACUGUUCAAUGGAAAACAACAAGGAAAGACAGAGAAAGAAUGUUUUGAGCUCAAUUCCAGGAUGCUUUUGAAAGUCAAGGACCAAUAAGAUAAAUGUCUGCAAGCACGAUGCAGAUGGCAUAACAUACUUGAGGCUUUUAUAUCAUAUUAGAGACUUUCAAUUUGUGUUAGACAUUGUCACUUUACAAUGCACUUGACAUAUUAUCUCAACAGUUUCCUAUAAUUUAUUUUCUUUCUUUCUUCAGACUGAAUAAAAUUUUCACAAAGAAAAAGCACAAAAAAGGAGAAAAAACACAUCCAAACAUUACAAGAUGGAAUGAAAAGUAGAAGAUGUAAAAGAACUAGAAUGUUUAUUUCUUGCUACUAAUAUUUCUGACAUUCCUGAAUCGUUUCCUGCACCAAUAAGAACCACUAACAUAAUGCAUGUGCUUUGUGGAAAUUUGAUCCGAGUUCCAGGUAUGUUGAGAGUUUAUGGAAAUUAUCUGACACAAAUGCUUAUGAUUACCAGUAUUGGGGGAAUAAAGAAAGAAGGAAAAAAAAAAAGAAAAAAAAAAACCUGAAAAAUAAAAAUUACCUAGAGAGUGGAAGAUAAAAACAGCUUUUACCAAACACAACCAAAAAGCCAGCAUAGAGAUGCCUGCUCAUUUUCAGCCAGCAUCACACCAAACUCUCAAUAACAAUUGAUCUGAUGCUCACCAUUGCUCUUUGUAUGUAUUUCUGUAUCUGGUCUCCCUAGCCUAUUUGUGAUAGGCCCUGGCAUUUUAGAGCACUAGAUUAUACAAGGAACCAAGCAAUUGUUUGGACUGCUUUUACACUGUAGAGCAUCUGCUAUUUUUCUGAGUUUUAGGCUAGACCCGAUGAGGAGAAGGGUUUCCAGUCUGUCCCUGUGAUGUUAAAAAAUAAAUAAGCAGCCAUUCCAAACAUUAUGAAAUUAAACAUCUUUCUCUAUUCUGUGUAAUAGAACCAAAUUGCUACGAUUGUGUCAUUAAACGCCCAGUGCAGCUAGUAUGAAAAAUUGGAGCAGCCUGGCGAUUUUUCUCGCGUUCUGUCAGCAGAACAACGUCUGCCUGCAACAAGGAAUACCUAUAUCCAUAUGCUUUCUGUCAGCCCUCAUGAUAAAUGCAGCACAGUCUUUGUGCUUCCAGCAAAUAGAGAGAGAAAAUGAUAUAUAAAGCCUCUCUUUGUUCUGAUUCAUGGAUAGAAGGCAUUGCAUAGACAAAGAAAAAUGUAAUGUCUGCACGCUGAUCGGGGGUAUUCAACCACUGCAGCUGGGAGCUGAUUUAGGAAAAAAAAAAAAACUGUUUCAUUUUAUUUUUACAGAAUUUGAAUCCAAGCUAAACAUAGUUGUGAAUGAUUGGAGCUUAGUUGUCUUGUGUCCUCCAUCCACUAACGCAAGCACGGUGACCGCUUGGUCUGGGCACACACGUGCUGCAGGCUCGAGCCUCCCAGUACCAGCAAUUCCCCUCCCUGCCACAGCUGAGUCAGCAGCAGAAGGUGAAUGAAGGUACCAGAACCAUUUGCUGCCGUGGGCCAGCGGCAAAACUGCAAAUUCCCUGGAAUAUUGGGGGGAAAUGGGGAUGAUGCAUGUGCAAAUUGCUCAUUGUUUCUGCUGAUCUUUGAGUGCUGCAUGACUUCCCUAUCGCUAUAACUAAAAGGCAAAAUUUAUUUCCAAUUGACCCUUUUAUCAAAGUAGUAAUGCCAAAAAAAAUCAGGAUUAUCAUUUUUGCACAAUUCAGCUUCCUCCGUGGCAAUGAGGGUAAACCAAAGACCACAUCCAAUAAACUAAGUAAACCCUCC
Anas platyrhynchos (mallard) is the source of this 4584-nucleotide non-coding RNA. The record is from RefSeq and is a predicted model, not a curated record. NCBI's taxonomy places the organism in Eukaryota, Metazoa, Chordata, Aves, Anseriformes, Anatidae.